RNAcentral lists this ribosomal RNA (468 nucleotides) under uncultured bacterium. RNAcentral describes it as "partial 16S ribosomal RNA". It matches the Rfam family "Bacterial small subunit ribosomal RNA", at positions 28 to 507 of the family's 1533-position model. The record is from RNAcentral.
GACGAACGCUGGCGGCGUGCUUAACACAUGCAAGUCGAACGGAAAGGCCCUGCUUUUGUUGGUUGCUCGAGUGGCGAACGGGUGAGUAACACGUGAGUAUCCUGCCCUUGUCUUUGGGAUAACUUCAGGAAACUGGGGCUAAUACCGGAUAUGAGCUCCUGCUGCAUGUUGGGGGUUGGAAAGUUUCGGCGGUUGGGGAUGGACUCGCGGCUUAUCAGCUUGUUUGUGUGGUAGUGGCUUACCAAGGCUUUGACGGGUAGCCGGCCUGAGAGGGUGACCGGCCACAUGGGGACUGAGAUACGGCGCAGACUCCUACGGGAGGCAGCAGUGGGGAAUAUUGCACAAUGGGCGGAAGCCUGAUGCAGCAACGCCGCGUGCGGGAUGACGGCCUUCGGGUUGUAAACCGCUUUCGCCGGUGACGAAGCGGGAGUGACGGUAAUGGGUAAAGAAGCACCGGCUAACUACGUG